Long non-coding RNA from Lepus europaeus (European hare), 607 nucleotides. RefSeq lists it as uncharacterized. The transcript has 4 exons. Lineage: Eukaryota; Metazoa; Chordata; Mammalia; Lagomorpha; Leporidae. The record is from RefSeq and is a predicted model, not a curated record.
UGCCACUGCAGGGGGACACUGGGUCUCCCAGGGCGGCUCUGGUGUCUCUGGGGGCUCAGAAACUCCGUGAGCAGGAACAUCGCUCAGCCAGAUUCUCAGUCCUCACACAGAGCCCUCAGAAACAUCGUGGGACAUCAGGGCCAUGUUCAGAGACAGGGCAAGGCCCAGGUUCCGAGAGUGAACGGUAGAGAGAUGUCUUGUUUUUGAAGACUCUCAAGCGGGGAUGGCCCUGAAAUUCCAGCCCAUUAGGAUCUGAGGGGCCAAAAUCAAGAGCCUGCAAAGAUGAUUGCAACAGAAUCUUCAAGAACCUGGGAGCCUUAGAUGACAAAACAGCAAUGAACAUUCUUUGUCUGAUGCCAGAACAAUUGGGCUGUCUGAUGCUUCUCCCUCCCGUGACUCAGCUUGUGAUCCUUGGCUGGAACACCACAGAGACCUGAAAUCAGUCACUUCUCUAAAGAGAGUAGUUGCUGUUUAAAAACUGAGAACUGGAUGUCGAUGUGCUCAGUGCUCUUGUGAUGUUGCUGCUCCUGCACCUCUCCAUGGACAGAGGGGCAAGUGUCUACCCGCGUCUGCAUUUGUUCCUGGCUGUGUAUUGGAAGCUGUGAGU